Molecule: ribosomal RNA, 562 nt
Filed under: Bipolaris maydis (southern corn leaf blight pathogen)
Lineage: Eukaryota; Fungi; Ascomycota; Dothideomycetes; Pleosporales; Pleosporaceae
Description: eukaryotic LSU rRNA
Rfam family: 5.8S ribosomal RNA (bases 175-328)
Source: RNAcentral
GGUUCUCGGGCGGGUAUGAGGCCUGGCUUUGCGGCCGGCUGAAAUAUUUUUUUCACCCAUGUCUUUUGCGCACUUGUUGUUUCCUGGGCGGGUUCGCCCGCCACCAGGACCAAACCAUAAACCUUUUUUUUAUGCAGUUGCAAUCAGCGUCAGUAUAAACAAUGUAAUUAUUACAACUUUCAACAACGGAUCUCUUGGUUCUGGCAUCGAUGAAGAACGCAGCGAAAUGCGAUACGUAGUGUGAAUUGCAGAAUUCAGUGAAUCAUCGAAUCUUUGAACGCACAUUGCGCCCUUUGGUAUUCCAAAGGGCAUGCCUGUUCGAGCGUCAUUUGUACCCUCAAGCUUUGCUUGGUGUUGGGCGUUUUUGUCUCCCUCUUUGCUGGGAGACUCGCCUUAAAACGAUUGGCAGCCGGCCUACUGGUUUCGGAGCGCAGCACAUAUUUUGCACUCUGUAUCAGGAGAAAAGGACGGUAAUCCAUCAAGACUCUUACGAUUUUUAACUUUUGACCUCGGAUCAGGUAGGGAUACCCGCUGAACUUAAGCAUAUCAAUAAGCGGAGGAA